This is a long non-coding RNA of Vespa mandarinia (Asian giant hornet), 407 nucleotides long. RefSeq lists it as uncharacterized. The record is from RefSeq and is a predicted model, not a curated record. NCBI's taxonomy places the organism in Eukaryota, Metazoa, Arthropoda, Insecta, Hymenoptera, Vespidae.
CGAAUCGAGAGGGAUGAGCCGCCGUUCGAUGAACCGUCCGUCAACCGUCUUCCCAGUCUACUCUUUCCUUUUCACACGCGAGGGAUGACUUAGGGUGCCAGUUUUGGCGGGAAUUUUUAACCGACCGGUUUCUCUCCUUCGAAAGAUACGAUCCUGUUCUGCCAGCGGGGAUUUAUUAAUGCAUUCGAAAGAGAGUAAAAAAAGAAAAAAAAAAAGAAAAUAAAGAAAAGGGAAGAUAUUCCAUACACGUUUGUUUCACUCGCGAAGCACGUUCUACGGAAUAGGAAAAAAAAAGAAAAAAGUACAAAUGGAAUAUGUAUGGAUGUUCCCCUAAAAAAAAUGAUUGAAGAAUCCUCUUAUAAUUUUUGGUUCUACUACGUGAAUCGAUCUAAUCGCUAAAAAAAAAA